GAUGAACGCUGGCGGCGUGCCUAAUACAUGCAAGUCGAGCGAACAGACGAGGAGCUUGCUCCUCUGACGUUAGCGGCGGACGGGUGAGUAACACGUGGAUAACCUACCUAUAAGACUGGGAUAACUUCGGGAAACCGGAGCUAAUACCGGAUAAUAUAUUGAACCGCAUGGUUCAAUAGUGAAAGACGGUUUUGCUGUCACUUAUAGAUGGAUCCGCGCCGCAUUAACUAGUUGGUAAGGUAACGGCUUACCAAGGCAACGAUGCGUAGCCGACCUGAGAGGGUGAUCGGCCACACUGGAACUGAGACACGGUCCAGACUCCUACGGGAGGCAGCAGUAGGGAAUCUUCCGCAAUGGGCGAAAGCCUGACGGAGCGACGCCGCGUGAGUGAUGAAGGUCUUCGGAUCGUAAAACUCUGUUAUUAGGGAAGAACAAAUGUGUAAGUAACUAUGCACGUCUUGACGGUACCUAAUCAGAAAGCCACGGCUAACUACGUG
Molecule: ribosomal RNA, 497 nt
Filed under: uncultured bacterium
Lineage: Bacteria
Description: partial 16S ribosomal RNA
Rfam family: Bacterial small subunit ribosomal RNA
Source: RNAcentral